AUUGAACGCUGGCGGCAUGCCUUACACAUGCAAGUCGAACGGUAACGGGUUAAGCCGACGAGUGGCGAACGGGUGAGUAAUAUAUCGGAACGUGCCCAGUCGUGGGGAUAACGUAGCGAAAGACUACGCUAAUACCGCAUACGAUCUAUGGAGUGAAAGCGGGGAGUCGCAAGACCUCGCGCGAUUGGAGCGGCCGAUAUCAGAUUAGGUAGUUGGUGGGGUAAAAGCCCACCAAGCCGACGA
RNAcentral lists this ribosomal RNA (243 nucleotides) under uncultured bacterium. RNAcentral's name for it is "partial 16S ribosomal RNA". It matches the Rfam family "Bacterial small subunit ribosomal RNA", at positions 30 to 279 of the family's 1533-position model. The record is from RNAcentral.